GACGAACCGUGCGAACGUUAUUCGGAAUCACUGGGCUUAAAGGGCGCGUAGGCGGGUCAUCAAGUCCGGGGUGAAAUCCCACGGCCCAACCGUGGAAGUGCCUUGGAUACUGAAGACCUCGAGGGGGAUAGGGGCGUGCGGAACUCAGGGUGGAGCGGUGAAAUGCGUAGAUAUCCUGAGGAACACCGGUGGCGAAAGCGGCGCGCUGGAUCCCUUCUGACGCUGAGGCGCGAAAGCCAGGGGAGCAAACGGG
This 253-nucleotide ribosomal RNA is filed under the name uncultured bacterium. Its description in RNAcentral is "partial 16S ribosomal RNA". It matches the Rfam family "Bacterial small subunit ribosomal RNA", at positions 524 to 776 of the family's 1533-position model. The record is from RNAcentral.